Capsicum annuum is the source of this 1661-nucleotide long non-coding RNA. RefSeq lists it as uncharacterized. NCBI's taxonomy places the organism in Eukaryota, Viridiplantae, Streptophyta, Magnoliopsida, Solanales, Solanaceae. The record is from RefSeq and is a predicted model, not a curated record. The transcript is spliced from 3 exons.
GGCCAGUGGGGCGGGGGGGUCUUUUGUUUAAUUCUUUCCAAAUUAAUGUGAAGAUAAUGUUUGAUAGAAUCUUAUUGGGAAGACAAAGUGUGUGAAUCACAUUCAGCAGAGUGGGAGAAAAGGUGAAGAAAUUUAAGAGAGGAUUUUGAAGGAUGAAUGAUAGCUCAGCUAGAGGAAUGAAUGAGAGACAACCUCAAAGGCCUUGUGGUUGUGUGGGCAUUUUCUUUCAGCUCUUUGAUCAGAACCGUAGAUUUGACAAGAAACUGUUUCCAAAGAAACUGCUUUCACCAGUUAGCUACUACUACAUUCCACUUAUUUUUAAAGCAGAAUGGUUAAUUUCUUGAAGGUGAUUCUAGAUAGAGGGCUAAAUUAUUUCAUUUUUUGUGCUGCAUUCUUAUAGCUUGAUUGAAACAACCUUCAAAAAAGUUUGGAGGGGAUGAGAAGCAGCCAAAGCUUCGUUUGAUUGCUGAUGAGAACAGUGGGGGUUUUCCGAAUGCAAAGAAUAAUGGAAUGAUCGAUACACGUUGUGAAAGCAAGCGCGAAAUGAAAGCUCCAAGUUUGGUUGCUAGGCUCAUGGGUUUGGAAUCGAUGCCAGCAGGAUCAGGCAGUAAGCCCCAAAAGGCUUCAGCUUCUGAAACUUGGAGCAAUGUGGCAGACAAACUUGGGGCUCGACCUGGCGGAUCUGAUAAAGAAGAUAUGGAUUUUGAGAUGGCUGAAAUAAAUAGUUAAGAACCAGGUUUGCAAAGGUUUAGAGCUAAAUGUGUUCUCACUUAUCCUACUAGAUAUUUUUCUCCUUCGGAAGAUGAAGCAGAUUUAGUUGGGAAUUCACUUGAUCACUAUUCUACUGACAGCUACCUCUCCAGCAGUCCCAAUAGUAGCUCAAAGGACAAAGUGCUUGCUGAAUCAGUGGACUCUGUUGAUGAUGAACCACUCUUUCCAGAACCUGAUAGAGAUCUUUCGGAUUGUGAGACCUCAUUAUCCACCUGGAGGAGUGCUUAGCAAGAUUGAUCAGUUAAAAGGAAGCAAACUCAGCUAUGUAAAAUAGGUCAUUUUGAAUGCUGAACUCAUAUUUGGAACUACACCUCAACAGCAGGCUCUACCUGUAGAGGAUGGGUUCUCUGUGAGCCAUUUUCUCCUCAAUCAACAUGAAAUAUUUUCGAGUUUUUUGUGGAUGGCUUUCGAUGAGUUGCUUGGCUGUAAUGACCCAAAACAGAUGAAUCAGCUUAAAGGAUUCGCCUUUGAUUGUCUAUUAGAGUACCUAGACUUAAAAUUUUCUCCAAUAUCUGAUUCUGUUUUCAGAACCUGUACCAAACUACCAUCAAGUAUGACCAAAGAGAUUAUUGAUGAGGUCGAAGAGUGGACACAAUUUGUUGGUUUGAUCCCAGACGAGCUAAUAGAAUGGGAUAUGAGCCAUUCUUUGGGUAAAUGUAUGGACUUUGAGAUUGAAGAAUAUGAAUGUGGCACUGAAGUUGCUAGGCAUAUUCUCUAAGAAUUAGUAGAUGAAUUUGUUUUAGACCUUUACAGUUCUAGCUAAAUUUGGUGGAACUGUUAGUAGCUCCUCUUUUUGAGACUUUGUUGCAAGCCUAUCAGUGCUGUUCUCAUGUGAUAACUCUUGACUCAAUAAUUUCAAGCAAAGUAUUUUAUACAAAUCAUUGAUUCUG